Molecule: long non-coding RNA, 526 nt
Filed under: Gossypium raimondii (Peruvian cotton)
Lineage: Eukaryota; Viridiplantae; Streptophyta; Magnoliopsida; Malvales; Malvaceae
Description: long non-coding RNA (GRAI_LNC001649)
Source: RNAcentral
CGAUAGGUGCACUUGCCUUUGUUGUAUUUUUAGUUAGUUUCGUGACAAUCAGUAUCAUCUUUUAAAUUAAGAUGUCAAACGAUCUGUGACAUAGAUUGCCAUGUUUCAAUUGUAAAGACCCAAUUUUGUUCGACCCUAAUAAAACAAAAAAAAAACAAAAAAAAAACCAAAACAAAUAAAAGUCCUAACAGUCCACUUACAAAGAAAACGACCUAAAUAUUACCCAAAUACAAAACCUAAAUACCCAAUCACCUAAGCCCAAGCCCAAAUCCCCUAAACUUAAAAUAGAAAACCCUAAUUCCUCUAAGUCUCUAGCUGCCGCCGCUCAUCUACCUUUGCCACGUCAACAGGUGCGCCGCCCGAGGUCUGCUCUCCUUUCACCGAAAUGGCAAGGCAUGGUUUCCCAUCGUCGAAAACCGCCACAGAUGCCUACACAAAAAAAGAAAGCAACAAAAUAGAGAAAACAAAAAAAACAAAUAUAAAAUGUAUGAUAUUCAACUAUAAAAGCCAAUGACAAAAAAAAAAC